UUCAGGGCAACCCGCAGCUGUCGCUACCGACAGCUCAGAGGCUCAAUAGGCGUGGGCGCAGCGCUGACCGUGCUGCGCUUGAGAUAGAGUCCGCCCUCGCUGGCAACAGCUGGGAGCAAGCGGAACCUGCGGAAGGAUCAUUACAGAAUAUACCUUAUUCUCACCCUGUGCAUACCGAACCUCUGUUGCCUCGGCGCACUGCUGCGCCAGAGGACUCAAACGCUGAAAUUAUACCGUCUGAGGCACUAUGCAAAUAGUCAAAACUUUCAACAACGGAUCUCUUGGUUCGGGUAUUGAUGAAGAACGCAGCGAAAUGCGAUAAGUAAUGCGAAUUGCAGAAUUCAGUGAGUCAUCAAAUCUUUGAACGCACAUUGCGCUCCCUGGUAUUCCGGAGAGCAUGCCUGUCUGAGCGUCAUUGCACCGCUUGCGCUCUGCGCAGUGUUGGGCGCAGCCUGUCUAGGCUCGCCUCAAAUCUAGUGGCAGCACCUCAGAGCUCCUACGCGCAGUGAUGACCGCCGCCGGCGGCGCCCUGCAGGUGCUAGCUAGUCCAACCCCCAACCUGUUAGGUGAC
RNAcentral lists this ribosomal RNA (571 nucleotides) under Rhytismataceae sp. F1-6-NN-2016. RNAcentral describes it as "eukaryotic LSU rRNA". The stretch from base 262 to 415 matches the Rfam family "5.8S ribosomal RNA". The record is from RNAcentral. Lineage: Eukaryota; Fungi; Ascomycota; Leotiomycetes; Rhytismatales; Rhytismataceae.